AAUUAACCCUACAUCUCACCCCACCAGGCCCAACACAACCUAACCCGGCCCACUAUUAUUUUCCAUCUCCCUCAAACAACAACCCUUAAACAAGAGCAAGAAACAGAUCCCCAAAUCGCUCAACAUUGCAACAACAACCAAGCUCCGACCCGUUCUAACACCUCACCUGAAAACCCACCGACCCAUCUUCAACCCGAUUUCAACCAAAUCAACCCAUUUGUAGCCUUCUUCACACGUUUCACACGGGUUCACGCGAAGAAAACCCUCGAACCUUCUAGAAAUAAGCUAGGUGUCGUCCCACCACAGCUAACUCCGCUAAUUUCGGGACAACUCGUACGAUCUGGUACAUAUUUGGCUGAUUUCCAUUGGUUUUGGGGAAAAAUUUAUUUUGCCCUUUUUUAAUUGGUCCCCCCGUUGCAAUUUAGCUGAAAACCCCCAAAAAGGGGUACGAAUUGAAGACGAAAAUGGGGUUGUGGGGAAAAUUUUGGGAUUUCAAAUUCAAGAGAUCCUUCUUUCAAAUCCAAAAAAAAAAUACCCCAAUUCAGUUUUUUAUUUAAGAGGGGAAGGGGUCAUUAUUUCAGGGGUUGGAGAUUCGAGAGUUGAAAUUAGGGUUCAAAACUUUGGGGAUUUUUUUUCUCUCCUCUCUUUUUCCUUCAAAGUUGAAAUUUUAGAGGUCUUUGGAUUUUCUGUUUGGGGGGUUCGAAAGUCUUGUUCGAAAAAUUUUUGAGGCUCUCGGGUUCGAAAAUUGGGUUUUGGUCGAUUUUGGUUCAAAAAUAAAAAGAUUUUCUAGGGGAAAUUUAGGUUGAAAAUUCUGGAAAGAAAUAAAGGAGAAGAAAACUUUUAGAGCAUCAUUUUCUUUAGUAAGGUUAUCUCGCUCUUGCUUCUUUGAAAGUUGACUGUUUAAUCGAAAGCCUCGAGGGUUCGUUGAUUGAUUAUGGGUGUGAGGUGAUGAAGACGUCAUUUUCUGAUGGCUACAUAUCUUGACCUUAGCUCGCCGUCCCAUUUGCUGCAUCGAAAUAGUUGAUCACAUAUUAGCAUUCAUGACUUUCUUGCCUUGCAUGAACCCAUCUUGGAGUCCAAAUGGACUCUCCUUCCCUUCGAAUCCCUCAUUGGGCCAAUGAGGCCCAUCUCAUUGAGUCAAGUUGAAAGAAA
Capsicum annuum is the source of this 1152-nucleotide long non-coding RNA. RefSeq lists it as uncharacterized. The transcript has 2 exons. NCBI's taxonomy places the organism in Eukaryota, Viridiplantae, Streptophyta, Magnoliopsida, Solanales, Solanaceae. The record is from RefSeq and is a predicted model, not a curated record.